AAUCAGUGGUUAAAAGACCAGGAGAAUCCCACAAACUCACAUGUACAGCAUCUGGAAUCUCAUUCAGCAGCUACUGGAUGGCCUGGAUCAGACAAGCUCCUGGAAAAGGACUGGAAGAACAACAAACACACUGGAUCAUGAUGGAGCACAGAUCAGCGCUGCUCAUUUUAAUCGUCAGUUUUAUGGGUGUUGAUGGUCAGACUCUGACAGAGUCUGAAUCAGUGGUUAAAAGACCAGGAGAAUCCCACAAAUUAACCUGUACAGCCUCUGGAUUCACAUUCAGCAACCACUGGAUCGCCUGGAUCAGACGGGAUCCUGGAAAAGGACCGGAGUGGGUUGCUUCUGUCACUACUGGUAGUGGCACAUACUACUCUCAGUCAGUUCAAGGCAGGUUUACCAUCUCUAGAGACAACAGCAAGCAGCAGGUCUAUCUGCAGAUGAACAGUCUGAACACAGAGGAUUCUGCUGUUUAUUACUGUGCUCAAGUCUCACUGUGAUUGAAGUCGGUUCAGCAGCUGUACAAAAACCUCGAGUGCCUUUUAUCUUAUAAGACACUAACCGUGUUUUAGUGACUGCACUGAUACAGAGGAACAGAACAAUUAGAACUAUUUUGUUUUCU
Molecule: non-coding RNA, 619 nt
Organism: Fundulus heteroclitus (mummichog)
Lineage: Eukaryota; Metazoa; Chordata; Actinopteri; Cyprinodontiformes; Fundulidae
Source: the annotation of a RefSeq genome assembly